RNAcentral lists this small nuclear RNA (319 nucleotides) under Ovis aries (sheep). RNAcentral describes it as "7SK RNA". It matches the Rfam family "7SK RNA". Rfam says of the family: 7SK was discovered as an abundant small nuclear RNA in the mid-70s but a possible function has only recently been suggested. Two independent studies have found that 7SK RNA binds the CDK9/cyclin T complex (known as elongation factor P-TEFb). Lineage: Eukaryota; Metazoa; Chordata; Mammalia; Artiodactyla; Bovidae. The record is from Rfam by way of RNAcentral.
GCAUGUGAGGGUGAUCUGGCUGUGACAUCUAUCACCCCAUUAAUCACCAGGGUUGACUCAGCUGUUCUGGCUGGGUAGACCAGUGUCCCCUUCCUGCAUCAGCCCUUCAUGUGUGUCCCUCCUCAAGCUGCAAGCUCAAGCUCAUCAAAAAGGGUAUUGGAAUAGCUGCACUCCUUUGCUAGAACCUUCAAACAAGCUCUCAGGACUAGCUCUUUCUACCCCGACAAGGAAUGGGUAACAUGUGGGUGAGAACUAAUUGGGAGACUUGCUGAAGACAGGGUCACAGGACCCCAGCAUGGGCAGCGUGCUGCUAGAGUUU